AGGGUGAUACUGGAUCAAGUAACACUGGAUUCUACGAAUCAAGGAGAGAAUGGAUGGGAAAACGACAUUACGUGUUAGCAGUUGAAGACUCUGAUUGUGGAGAGUACAAAAUUUUCCGACCAAACUUGGGGAGUCUAUCAGGGAGAUGACACUAACAGAACUAAAAGAAAAAUAUAGAAAACUUUCAGCUCUUGAGAAAGCGCGUACUGGCUGGGAAGGUGAAUAUGAAGUUUCUUCCAAGCAGUGCAUGCACGGUCCCAACUGUAAAUUGGGCAGCUUCUGCACUACAGGCAGAAGGCUACAGGAAGUGAACGUUUUGGGUGGUCUCAUUCUUCCUGUUUUGGGGCACUGUUGAGAAGGCACUCUCCAAGCAGG
Molecule: long non-coding RNA, 375 nt
Organism: Salvia splendens (bonfire salvia)
Lineage: Eukaryota; Viridiplantae; Streptophyta; Magnoliopsida; Lamiales; Lamiaceae
Exons: 4
Source: RefSeq, a predicted model, not a curated record